ACUCCUACGGGAGGCAGCAGUGGGGAAUUUUGGACAAUGGGCGAAAGCCUGAUCCAGCCAUGCCGCGUGAGUGAAGAAGGCCUUCGGGUUGUAAAGCUCUUUUAGUCGGAAAGAAAGAGUUGCAAUGAAUAAUUGUGAUUUAUGACGGUACCGACAGAAAAAGCACCGGCUAACUACGUGCCAGCAGCCGCGGUAAUACGUAGGGUGCGAGCGUUAAUCGGAAUUACUGGGCGUAAAGCGUGCGCAGGCGGUUCGUUAAGUCUGAUGUGAAAGCCCCGGGCUCAACCUGGGAAUGGCAUUGGAUACUGGCGGGCUGGAGUGUGGCAGAGGGGGGUGGAAUUCCGCGUGUAGCAGUGAAAUGCGUAGAGAUGCGGAGGAACACCGAUGGCGAAGGCAGCCCCCUGGGCUGACACUGACGCUCAGGCACGAAAGCGUGGGGAGCAAACAGGAUUAGAUACCCUGGUAGUC
RNAcentral lists this ribosomal RNA (468 nucleotides) under uncultured bacterium. Its description in RNAcentral is "bacterial SSU rRNA". It matches the Rfam family "Bacterial small subunit ribosomal RNA", at positions 335 to 795 of the family's 1533-position model. The record is from RNAcentral.